RNAcentral lists this ribosomal RNA (403 nucleotides) under uncultured Mucor. Its description in RNAcentral is "partial small subunit ribosomal RNA". It matches the Rfam family "Eukaryotic small subunit ribosomal RNA", at positions 30 to 432 of the family's 1831-position model. Lineage: Eukaryota; Fungi; Mucoromycota; Mucoromycetes; Mucorales; Mucoraceae. The record is from RNAcentral.
GCUUGUCUCAAAGAUUAAGCCAUGCAUGUCUAAGUAUAAGCCUUUAUAUGGUGAGACUGCGAAUGGCUCAUUAAAUCAGAAACUGUUUAUUUGAUAGUGCCUACUACAUGGAUACCUGUAGUAAUUCUAGAGCUAAUACAUGCAAAAAAACCCAGACUUACGAAUGGGUGCACUUAUUAGAUAAAGCCAACGCUGGGUAAAACCAGUUUCCCUUGGUGAUUCAUAAUAAUUAAGCGGAUCGCAUGGCCUUGUGCUAGCGACAGUCCACUCGAUUUUCUGCCCUAUCAUGGUUGAGAUUGUAAGAUAGAGGCUUACAAUGCCUACAACGGGUAACGGGGAAUUAGGGUUCGAUUCCGGAGAGGGAGCCUGAGAAACGGCUACCACAUCCAAGGAAGGCAGCAGG